RNAcentral lists this ribosomal RNA (230 nucleotides) under Shigella sp. FC1967. Its description in RNAcentral is "partial 23S ribosomal RNA". It matches the Rfam family "Bacterial large subunit ribosomal RNA", at positions 1016 to 1244 of the family's 2925-position model. The record is from RNAcentral. Lineage: Bacteria; Pseudomonadati; Pseudomonadota; Gammaproteobacteria; Enterobacterales; Enterobacteriaceae.
AGGGAAACAACCCAGACCGCCAGCUAAAGGUCCCAAAGUCGAUGGUUAAGUGGGAAACGAAGUGGGAAGGCUCAGACAGCCAGGAUGUUGGCUUAGAAGACAGCCAUCAUUUAAAGAAAGCGUAAUAGCUCACUGGUCGAGUCGGCCGCGCGGAAGAUGUAAGGGGGCUAAACCAUGCACCGAAGCUGCGGCAGCGACACUAUGUGUUGUUGGGUAGGGGAGCGUUCUGU